Transfer RNA from Luteipulveratus sp., 79 nucleotides. It matches the Rfam family "tRNA". Rfam says of the family: Transfer RNA (tRNA) molecules are approximately 80 nucleotides in length. Their secondary structure includes four short double-helical elements and three loops (D, anti-codon, and T loops). Lineage: Bacteria; Bacillati; Actinomycetota; Actinomycetes; Micrococcales; Dermacoccaceae. The record is from Rfam.
UCCCCGGUUGCUCUGCUGGUAGGGGCCGCCUGACUUUGAAUCAGGAUUAGCGACGUAGGUUCGAUUCCUACCCGGGGAG